GGGAGCAUCGGUUUUGACAUUAUUGUGUACUAAUUCCUUUUUUAUUUGAUUCACUAUCUUUAUGCUUCAAGUAUACAUUGUGUACUAAUUCCUUUUUUAUUAAUGUCCAAAUGAGGAUAGAUAGUUUGAUAACUCCAUCUACGGUGCUAUGACAAUGUUCCGUAAGCUGGUCAAAGAGUAACGUGGUGGCAGCGGAUGGAUGCUAUGAAAAAUUGUAGAACGGUGCAGCAGUGAAGGUUGAUCAUGGAUUGAUGAGAUGCGUGAUGUGCUUCGGUGGAUGGACUAACUCAGAAGNCCUUCAAGAAUGGAAGGAAGUUAGGUGAUAGAGAUUUAGAGAAGCACAGGAGAGGACUUUCAGAGGAGAACUGGCUCAUACAUUCAUCAGUUUUAAUUCUCAAAAUUCUAAAAGUGAAUACAUGGUGCAGCCAAGGUGANUUUUAUAGACUCCUCAUCCUUUGGCCAUUGAUGGAAACGUGCUCAUCCAAGAUGGAUCACAUUCCACGUUUCUAAACAUGUGCUAAAUGUGCUAAGCUUCUAGAAGCCUACAUGUAUUACA
Molecule: long non-coding RNA, 556 nt
Filed under: Vigna radiata
Lineage: Eukaryota; Viridiplantae; Streptophyta; Magnoliopsida; Fabales; Fabaceae
Description: long non-coding RNA (VRAD_LNC016893)
Source: RNAcentral